GACGAACGCUGGCGGCGUGCUUAACACAUGCAAGUCGAACGGUAAGGCCCUUCGGGGUACACGAGUGGCGAACGGGUGAGUAACACGUGGGUGAUCUGCCCUGCACUUCGGGAUAAGCCUGGGAAACUGGGUCUAAUACCGGAUAGGACCCUGGGAUGCAUGUCCUGGGGUGGAAAGCUUUUGCGGUGUGGGAUGGGCCCGCGGCCUAUCAGCUUGUUGGUGGGGUGAUGGCCGACCAAGGCGACGACGGGUAGCCGGCCUGAGAGGGUGACCGGCCAUACUGGGACUGAGAUACGGCCCAGACUCCUACGGGAGGAAGCAGUGGGGAAUAUUGCACAAUGGGCGCAAGCCUGAUGCAGCGACGCCGCGUGAGGGAUGACGGCCUUCGGGUUGUGAACCUCUUUCAGCACCGACGAAGCGCAAGUGACGGUAGGUGCAGAAGAAGGACCGGCCAACUACGUGCCAGCAGCCGCCGUAA
Molecule: ribosomal RNA, 478 nt
Filed under: uncultured bacterium
Lineage: Bacteria
Description: partial 16S ribosomal RNA
Rfam family: Bacterial small subunit ribosomal RNA
Source: RNAcentral